This 234-nucleotide ribosomal RNA is filed under the name uncultured Lactobacillus sp. RNAcentral's name for it is "partial 16S ribosomal RNA". It matches the Rfam family "Bacterial small subunit ribosomal RNA", at positions 128 to 356 of the family's 1533-position model. The record is from RNAcentral. Lineage: Bacteria; Bacillati; Bacillota; Bacilli; Lactobacillales; Lactobacillaceae.
GCCCAAGAGAUCGGGAUAACACCUGGAAACAGAUGCUAAUACCGGAUAACAACAGAUGAUGCCUAUCAACUGUUUAAAAGAUGGUUCUGCUAUCACUCUUGGAUGGACCUGCGGUGCAUUAGCUAGUUGGUAGGGUAACGGCCUACCAAGGCGAUGAUGCAUAGCCGAGUUGAGAUACUGAUCGGCCACAUUGGGACUGAGACACGGCCCAAACUCCUACGGGAGGCAGCAGCG